Molecule: ribosomal RNA, 482 nt
Filed under: Cytophaga sp. 'Egg clone D49'
Lineage: Bacteria; Pseudomonadati; Bacteroidota; Cytophagia; Cytophagales; Cytophagaceae
Description: bacterial SSU rRNA
Rfam family: Bacterial small subunit ribosomal RNA
Source: RNAcentral
UCAGGAUGAACGCUAGCGGGAGGCUUAACACAUGCAAGUCGAGGGGCAGCAUUUACUUCGGUAAGAUGGCGACCGGCGCACGGGUGCGUAACGCGUAUGCAACCUACCUUAUACAAAGGGAUAGCCCAUGGAAACGUGGAUUAAUACCUUAUGGUACUAUAAAACUGCAUAGUUUAAUAGUUAAAAUUUCGAUGGUAUAAGAUGGGCAUGCGUAGGAUUAGGUAGUUGGUGAGGUAAUAGCUCACCAAGCCGACGAUCCUUAGGGGUUCUGAGAGGAUUAUCCCCCACACUGGUACUGAGACACGGACCAGACUCCUACGGGAGGCAGCAGUGAGGAAUAUUGGGCAAUGGAGGCAACUCUGACCCAGCCAUCCCGCGUGCAGGAUGACGGCCCUAUGGGUUGUAAACUGCUUUUGUUUGCCAAGAAUGGUUAUUAACGUGUAGUAAUUUGAAGGUAGCAAAUGAAUAAGGACCGGCUAACU